GAUGAAGAACGCAGCGAAAUGCGAUAAGUAAUGCGAAUUGCAGAAUUCCAGUGAGUCAUCGAAUCUUUGAACGCACAUUGCGCCCGUCAGUAUUCUGGCGGGCAUGCCUGUUCGAGCGUCAUUACGCCCCUCAAGUCCCCUGUGGACUUGGUGUUGGGGAUCGGCGAGGCUGGUUUUCCAGCACAGCCGUCCCUUAAAUUAAUUGGCGGUCUCGCCGUGGCCCUCCUCUGCGCAGUAGUAAAACACUCGCAACAGGAGCCCGGCGCGGUCCACUGCCGUAAAACCCCCCAACUUUUUAUAGUUGACCUCGAAUCAGGUAGGACUACCCGCUGAACUUAAGCAUAUCAAUAAGCGGAGGA
RNAcentral lists this unclassified non-coding RNA (359 nucleotides) under soil metagenome. RNAcentral's name for it is "partial contains 5.8S ribosomal RNA, internal transcribed spacer 2, and large subunit ribosomal RNA". The stretch from base 1 to 121 matches the Rfam family "5.8S ribosomal RNA", at positions 35 to 154 of the family's 154-position model. The record is from RNAcentral.